This is a long non-coding RNA of Drosophila navojoa, 304 nucleotides long. Lineage: Eukaryota; Metazoa; Arthropoda; Insecta; Diptera; Drosophilidae. The record is from RefSeq and is a predicted model, not a curated record.
CACACACACACACACACACACACACGCACGCACACACAUCUGACUGACACCGUUAGGCAUUGUCAUUGGAGUUGGGGCGCAUUGAGCUAAAACGAAUACGGAACCAAAAAUAUACCACACUUAACUAACUAAACGAAACGGCUGAGCAAAUGAAAUAAAGCAAAAAGAAAAUGAUAAAACGAAGAAAAAUGAGUAACGAAAACUAAACUUGGUAGAAACUAAUGAAUAGCAAAGUAACAAGUAAAGAGAAGUACAGAAAGAAAUUACAACAAAAACUGUGUCGCAUGCGAAAUGUGAAAAACUU